GGAGGUUUUAGCAGUCGCCAGCUGGAAACGGAAUCCAGGAACUUCACUUGGAACUUGAGACGAGGAAAUCAGCACAACGAGGAAUCAGAGUCGUAGCCGGACUGGAGUCAAGCCUGGAGAAAAACAUAGAGACAAGGAAUCCUCAAGUCCUGGUCUCACGUUCUUGCGACCAUCAGCUCUGGUUCUAAGUCGUCAGUUUUGGAUCUUGCCUCAGCCUAAGUACUCAAACCUCAGAAGAAACCUAGUUUGGUUCAAUCUCUAGCAGACAAGCGAACCCUUCUCACCCUCCACCAAUUGUUCACCAAAGACUCACCAGAGUACUCACCGUCAUCCUGGAUUAUUCACCGUUUGCGCAGCAGCGUCUGUUCAGUCCUCCCAGGCUCCGCAUCAUUCCUCCACGCCAACCUCUAUUCAUCAAAACAUGCUGUGCCUCCAGUCCCGGUUCCAGUUCAACAUCAAUUACCUGUCAAAUAAACUUGCUAAACUUUU
This is a long non-coding RNA of Girardinichthys multiradiatus, 489 nucleotides long. RefSeq lists it as uncharacterized. The record is from RefSeq and is a predicted model, not a curated record. Lineage: Eukaryota; Metazoa; Chordata; Actinopteri; Cyprinodontiformes; Goodeidae. The transcript is spliced from 4 exons.